CCUACGGGAGGCAGCAGUGAGGAAUAUUGGUCAAUGGCCGGAAGGCUGAACCAGCCAUGCCGCGUGAAGGUCAGUGCCCUAUGGGCGUUAAACUUCUUUUGUGCGGGAGCAAUAAUGGUCACGUGUGGCCAGACGAGAGUACCGUACGAAUAAGCAUCGGCUAACUCCGUGCCAGCAGCCGCGGUAAUACGGGGGAUGCAAGCGUUAUCCGGAUUUAUUGGGUUUAAAGGGUGCGUAGGCUGGGAGGUAAGUCAGCGGUGAAAUGCCCCCGCUCAACGGGGUGAAGUGCAAUUGAUACUGCCUGGCUGGAAUGCGGAUGCCGUGGGAGGAAUGUGUGGUGUAGCGGUGAAAUGCAUAGAUAUCACACAGAACACCGAUUGCGAAGGCAUCUCACGAAUCCGCGAUUGACGCUGAUGCACGAAAGCGUGGGUAUCAAACAGGAUUAGAUACCCGAGUAGUC
Molecule: ribosomal RNA, 460 nt
Filed under: uncultured bacterium
Lineage: Bacteria
Description: partial 16S ribosomal RNA
Rfam family: Bacterial small subunit ribosomal RNA
Source: RNAcentral